Molecule: long non-coding RNA, 547 nt
Organism: Ananas comosus (pineapple)
Lineage: Eukaryota; Viridiplantae; Streptophyta; Magnoliopsida; Poales; Bromeliaceae
Exons: 2
Source: RefSeq, a predicted model, not a curated record
UUUCCCUAACGGUCACCCGAUCAAUCCCUCUUUUUCCCCUCCCCUAAGACUCGCUCUCUCUCUCUUCCUCACCGCAUCCGUACGACCUCUGUCGUUCCGCAAGUGCGCACGCGACGCCAUCCGAUCGUCGCCGUCAUCCGUAGCCGCCUCCGCCGCAAUCCUCUUUGGCCGUUAUUUUUGGUUCACUAUCGACGACAUCCUGCCGUCAUCUUCACCAUUUUCGAGAAGAUUCCGACGAUUGAUCUCGUGCAAUUUUCGAUUGGAUAGCUUCUUAACUUAGAAGCCGCUUUUGAGGUAAGCGAUCGGACACCCGUUAGUUUUUUGUAAGAUAAUUUAGGAAAAUAUUUCGAUUGUAUGAAAAUCUUAUUUUGUAGAUUUUAAAAUUAAGGGUUAAGCAUAUUAUUAAAUAUUUCUGUAAAUUGAGCUUCAACUGUGAUUGACAAGUUCUUUUAGCAAAAUGAAUUUUUGAAACUUGAUAAUCUGUUCUGUAAAUUAGUGACUGGAUAACUUUUGAAGUAUGAUGUCUCUUGGUAUUCUGCUAUACUAA